This 800-nucleotide ribosomal RNA is filed under the name uncultured bacterium. RNAcentral's name for it is "bacterial SSU rRNA". It matches the Rfam family "Bacterial small subunit ribosomal RNA", at positions 8 to 788 of the family's 1533-position model. The record is from RNAcentral.
AGAGUUUGAUCCUGGCUCAGGAUGAGCGCUGGCGGCGUGCCUAAUACAUGCAAGUCGAGCGAAUGGAUUAAGAGCUUGCUCUUAUGAAGUUAGCGGCGGACGGGUGAGUAACACGUGGGUAACCUGCCCAUAAGACUGGGAUAACUCCGGGAAACCGGGGCUAAUACCGGAUAACAUUUUGAACCGCAUGGUUCGAAAUUGAAAGGCGGCUUCGGCUGUCACUUAUGGAUGGACCCGCGUCGCAUUAGCUAGUUGGUGAGGUAACGGCUCACCAAGGCAACGAUGCGUAGCCGACCUGAGAGGGUGAUCGGCCACACUGGGACUGAGACACGGCCCAGACUCCUACGGGAGGCAGCAGUAGGGAAUCUUCCGCAAUGGACGAAAGUCUGACGGAGCAACGCCGCGUGAGUGAUGAAGGCUUUCGGGUCGUAAAACUCUGUUGUUAGGGAAGAACAAGUGCUAGUUGAAUAAGCUGGCACCUUGACGGUACCUAACCAGAAAGCCACGGCUAACUACGUGCCAGCAGCCGCGGUAAUACGUAGGUGGCAAGCGUUAUCCGGAAUUAUUGGGCGUAAAGCGCGCGCAGGUGGUUUCUUAAGUCUGAUGUGAAAGCCCACGGCUCAACCGUGGAGGGUCAUUGGAAACUGGGAGACUUGAGUGCAGAAGAGGAAAGUGGAAUUCCAUGUGUAGCGGUGAAAUGCGUAGAGAUAUGGAGGAACACCAGUGGCGAAGGCGACUUUCUGGUCUGUAACUGACACUGAGGCGCGAAAGCGUGGGGAGCAAACAGGAUUAGAUACCCU